UGCGGUGCUGGGACUGCGAGGGAAGGAAGUUGUGGUGCAGGGAGAUGGUUGUGCAAUGGAGGGGCUGUGCAUUUGCUCCACCGAUGACCACUGCGCUCCUAAACUAGGCUAUUAUUGUCGACCUGGGGAAGUCUAUGAGCAGGCUCGAGUUUGCCGGAAGAUAAAAUCCGUGGAAGCUGAUGGUUUGGCAUGGAGCGCAUGAUACCAUUCACAUUCAUUUGCUGUGAGGUUUAUUUCUGUGUCACUUCCUCUUCGAAUAAAGGAUGAAAUGUCAGUCAAUAAUUACUACAUAGUUUAUUAUUGUGAUAUUAAAGCAAGCGUCGAUAAAUGCAAUAUUGUAUGGGACGCAGAUUACAUUCCUCCCGAUUUAUCUGUACAACUCCAAGAUGACUUAUACAAGUCAUUCUAUAGAACUAUAAUGUCUUAAUAAAUUUUUUUUGGGAAAAAAAUUAGGACAUAAUUUCUCAUUAUUUUUCAUAGCAAGAUCCCAUUUUGAAGGAAACGAACGCUCUCCAGUAUCCUUUGCAUGAAAGGAACGAGGAAGCAAGAAAUAAUUGUGCCAUUCUUAACGCCAUCGUGUGGAGAGAGAUAGUAUGUUAACGCGAUAUUCUUCGCUAUCAUUUCUUAAAAUAAUAAUGAUGAUUAAUGAUAAUAACCUGCGACUCACGUAAAUGUUCUGAUUAAUUUUACAUUAAUUACGCUUGACCCACGUUUCGUGACACAAAUGAAAUGGUAGUUCACACCGAUUACAUUUCAAAUUUUUGACUCAAAGCUCGUCCUAUGGAUCGCGAGAAUAAACCAUAUGGUAAGAAGCUACAUAAAUAUGGAAAUCACAAAGGAGGGUGAUUACUGUAAUUAACCCUUCCUCGAUGCCCCCAACUCCAAGAAACUACUGCUCUCUCUAGGUAACUCUACGGCGCAGCAUCCAAUCUUAUGUUUUUUCCUUUCUCAUCCUCGCAGUAUAAUUUAGAGAUAGCAAGUGGUCGCACCAUGAUCGAGGGAAACAGCAGCGAGAGCAAGCUGAGCCAGUACAUCAGGCCCCCGACCGGGAGCUGCGGCAUGCCCCGGACUUGUACGAUAGCAGCAUGGCCGGGAUCGCCGGCAAGGCGCAGUGUGGCACCGUCAUCGCGCUGUCUUCGCGCCUAUGGCUUUGGGCUGUGCUCGCGGACGAGCAGCAGCGAGGAAGAGAUCAACGACCUCAUCGGCGCCGUUUGCAAGAGCAAGAUGCGGGCCAUCCCGGUGGAGGAUGGGACGCCGGUGCCGAGGAGCCACAGUGUGGCGACGUUGAGGAUAGACGAAGACAAGCCGUGUGACUUCGAGGACGACCUCACGGUGGCCCUGGGGCCAAGGAGCUGUGGCUACGAUGUUGCCACCGAGAGGAAGGUGGGCUUCUAAUAAGCUUCAAGUUAGCUUGUGCGGUGAUCUAACACGAACAGUAAACAUCCGAGCUUAUAUAUUGUACUGCUUUCGAGGGAGGAAAUAAGCAAUUCGUUGAGCCGUUGUCAUUCUUUGGGAACCAAAACUUAUUAGGAGAUAAAUCGAAUAGUAGAUAUUCGUCGCUUCUUUUAUGAAGCCUUGUUGUAUUUUACCUACUCACCACGUCUUGUGAUAAUCUCAUGUAAUAUCUACACAAAAUAACUAAGUUUUAGAUCGGGCAUGACAUCCUCAAGGAAUGAUUUUUUAAUAGACUACAGUGUUUAUUUAUGUGAGGAUUUGGCAUGCUUUUUUCAUCUUAAAAAAGGAAAUGUUAAAUUUCUAAGAAAAACCUCCUAACUUUAAGAAUUUAUCAAAUAACCCUCCAAUCUUGAGAAAUUUUUAUAGAGUAUUUCUUUUUCUUAAAUGAUCAUUCUACCCAUAUUGAUUGUCGCCUUUACCCUUGCAUUGUUAUUGCUGUGCUUGCCGGUGGCCUUCGCACAAGGAAGGAAGGGGUGCAAGAGUUGUCAUCUCCUUCCUGCACCACCUCCCCUCCCUUCUGCAUGCUGGACUUAUUGCUUACAGGCCUCACGCGAGGAAGGAGAAGGUACGAGGGCUAUUAUCACCUUUGCAGACCUCACUAACCCUACACUAACGCCUUGCUCACAACCCUCGCAUGAGAAAGGAGAGGACGUGAGGGCUGGGAUAGUAAUUCAAAUCCAAUCAAGGUCUAUUCCAAAUCAGUCACUAUUUGUAAUGCACUAAAUUUGUAAAACUAGGUUGAGGGGCAUUCUUGACAAAUAUUCCUUCAACGGCGAAUUGAAUUUUUAGGUUUGGACUAGUCGAUGAAGUGAAGUCAUAUCUUAGGAGUACAUGGGAGCCCUUUUUAUGAGUGAUACUAAGGAUGAUUAUUCCUAGAAUCACCGAUCGCAUAGGCCAGCCAUGUCAACCACGGGUUCAGAUGAUUGAUUAUCUGGUCAUGUAUCACCCCUUUAUGAGUAUAUGUCUUACGACCUGAUCAUCAUUUGUCUAUCGCGUGUGAUCCUCAUGCUCUUUGGCAAUCGAUCAGUUGGCUCAUUGGUCAUCGGCAAUGUUGUAUUUGACAUGUCACUUGUCACCUAUCACUUGCCCCCAACUUCUAGGUUGAUAGAUUGUAGGGCUAUCGAGUUAAGAAGUGCUCUAGCUUAUGCUUUUAACACUGAUAGUGGAUUUGUUCGUCAUCUUUUUGACAUAUGUCAUAGAAAUGCAUGUUCUGUCCGUUAAAGCUAUUCUAUCCAUUUAGUAUGUUUAACGCAUUCGGUUCAUUUAACCCGUUCUAUUCAUUAGUUGCUCUCCCUCUAACAUACAUUCCUUAAUAUAUCUUGGUUGCUCUCCCUCUAACAUAUCAGUAUAAAUUUUAGUUGUUUGAGUUGAGAUGAUAACUUAGAUCUAUCUGACGUUCAUUCCAAGUUAGUCUAACUCUAGAAAACCUACAAAUGCCCUAUCGUCGAUCAAGUCAGACUUGUCAGCCAAUACUAAAGUCAAGUCGGGUCCUGGAAGUGUACAUAAGAGUCUCUUUUAUUAGUAACUCUAAGAAUGGUUAUGUCUGGAAUCAUUGAUGGUAAGAGGGGAAUAUGUGCCACAUUCAAGCUGAGACUUGGCAUUCGUACAAGUAAAUGGUUGAUGUGAUCCGGGAGAGAGCAAGGCAUGUAAAUGAUUCAUAACAAGGGAACGUCUCUUACAAGUUCUCCAUUGACAGGUUCUUCCGACUUAGAAUUGGUCUAAUGUUUUCCGGCUUCUCCGUACCUCAGGAAAUGUUGGGUCUAGCCCAUACGUCAGCUUGGACUAGAUAAUUAAAUUUUUGAGCUCAAAUCAAUAAUUAAAAAAAAAAACUGCCUAUAGCGUUUUGACAAGCGAACGAUGGCGACGCACAGUCAAAUUAACAUAGAAAGAGAAAAGAGAAAAAAAAUAAGAUUUUGAGUUUUUCUUAGUUAACGAUCAGAGUCAAACUUGGAUCCAAAUUAUACAUGAAAAAUCUUUACAGUAGCCAGCUCUACAAUCCGCUGAUUUGUAGUUUACCCUUUAUGAGGUAUUUUCCAACUAUACUCAUUUUGUGAGACAAAAUUCUUUUUUUGAUGAGAUUCAUUCAUGUGAUGAUGAUAUACUAUUCUUGAGUCAAGAUAUGUGAUUUUGAUGUUAUUAUGGUUCUCUUGUUAUUUUAAAGAAGACUUAUUGUAAACCUAUAAUUAUUAUUAGUGAUAGUGGAAGCUUGAAGUGGACUACGAUCCCUAUUAUUAUUAUUAGUGAUAGUGGAAGCUUGAGGAGGACUACGGUACGUGGUUUUUUCCGCAUUAGGUUUUUCACGUUAAUAUUUGGUCUUACUUUGUGAUUGAUUCAUUGUUUUGUUAUUUAUGUUGUUCUGGUUUAUAUGUACUUUUGAUAUCAAGCUGGUUUUUGAUGAGAAACUUAUUUUAAUAGACAAAAAGAAAAAAAAUUAUUUUAUUUUAAUAGGUUUUUCCCAACAAGAAAUUGAGUGAAGAACUCUAUUUAACCGACUUCAAGUCGGCACGACCCUCUUCGCAUCCAAUGUUAGUGUAGCGCUAUGACCUAGGAAGAAGAAGAGGGAACAAGCUGAUGCGGUACAUCAAGGCCUCUCAUCGAGCACUGCUACGUGCCCGGGACUUGUACGUGAACAGCAUGGCUGGAUGCGCCAGAAGGGCCCAGGGCGAGCCGACGAUCAUCGCGAUGCCGCACGCCCAGAGCCACAUAUAUACACACACAAACGCGCACACACAAUAAAAGUAAUAUAAUUAUUGAUGCCCAUGCAAAAAGAUUUUAUAUCAUUUUUAUUUAAUUCGCUCACGUGGAUCAAUCGAGUUGUCCAUGUGUUAUUAUCCAUUAACUUGCUUUUAUCUAUUAUAUAAUAACGAUUGGAUCAUGAGCUGGCUUUCUCAUCUGCGUGCCAAUCCAAACGCUUCUAUACUGUGCCAUCGACGACUUCAAUAUCUUUGAUUUGCUCACAUCUCAAAGCCAAAAAAAAGGAAAAAUGAUGAGUACCUACAGUAUAUGACAAUUAGUUAGACCGAUUCUUCUAAAUUUUCUGAUCCCAUCGUGAGGCGUGCAUGACCAGCGUACUUUCCCCACUGUAUUUUACUCGACCAUCACUAACCUCACCGCUAUUAUAGAAAUAGUAUGUCAACACGAUCUUGGCUGUCAUCANNNNNNNNNNNNNNNNNNNNUUUUCUUACAAUAAUAAUAAUGAUAAGAACCUUGCGUCCCAAGUUGGCUCACGUGAUUGAAAUAAAUGACUCGAAUUGGGAACAAUACCCAUAUGCAGAUUCAUUGGGAUGGCAGAAUCUCUUGUUAAGUCAACGGGCUUUACCUCCCUUAUUUUAUAUGAAUUUUUUUCUGACACCUAAUAAUUUUGUAAACAGUGAUCAAGAUAUCGAAUUCACAUUCUCCUAUAUACACAUUACAUACCCAUAUGCAGACCAACUCUGGACAGUCAUCAUGGCCGCCACCUACUUUGCCCUAUUCGCCUCCGGCCUCGCCGUCUUGCUUCUACUAGUCCAAGGAUCGCCGCCAGGGCCCGUUGUCCAGUGCCGGUCCGGCAACACUAACUGCACCGUGACCAACGGCUAUGGAGCCUUUCCUGAUCGCAGCACCUGCUGCGUCGCCGCGGUCGCGUACCCUUCCACCGAACUGGAGCUCCUGUUAGCUGUCUCCGACGCCACCGAGAAGCAGCAGCACAUGAAGGCUGUCACGAUGUACUCCCACAGCAUCCCCAAGCUGUCGUGCCCCGGAGGGCCGAGCGGCCAGGGCCUGGUCAUUAGCACCCAGCGCCUCAACCGAUCGGUGAGCGUGGACAUGGCCACCUCGCGGAUGACGUUCGAAGCAGGGAUCACACUUAGGGAGCUCCUUGACGCGGCGGCCGCCCGUGGCCUGGCGCUACCCCACUCGCCGUACUGGCAAGGGAUGACGCUCGGCGGCCUGCUGAGCACCGGCUCCCAUGGGAGCUCGGUGUUCGGGAAGGGCUCGGCGGUGCACGAAUAUGUGGUAGGGAUGAGGCUGGUGGUUCCAAGUCCGGCCCCGGUGAACGGAUACUACGCCAAGAUCGUUAAUCUUGGUGAGGAUGAUCCUGAUCUCUUGGCUGCCAAGGUUUCUCUCGGUGUUCUUGGAGUCAUUUCUCAGGUAUGUGUGUGGUGACCUACGUGUUAUUCUUUGUUCUUUACACGGAUUGAGAUCCAUGUGAUAACUCAUCUUAGUUCUUCAUGGUGGUUCUUCCAACCACGUCAAGUACUUUCAUAAGCUGAGUGUACAAGAUUUGCCACGUUUCGAUGCUAAUUAGGUGCAACUAUAUCUUUAAUUCUUCAUGAUAUAAUAGAGAUCAUCCUACUGUUAUUAGCAACGCUGAAUACAUCCUAUCGUCAGUAAAAUGUCGAGACAGAAAAAAAAAACUUGAUUUCUAUCAAAUCACUUUACAAAGGAAGACUUGUUCUUUUCCUUGAAUCUAGAAAGUUACGUAAAUAAUAGGCUUUUGAUGAUCGCAGUGGACUUUACUUUUAAUCUUUCCUUCUUUUCUUGCUUUGCUUGUCUUCCUUGUUUCAAAAUGGGCUGAUGCAAACCUUUGAACCGUUCUAAUGAUUCCAUGUACCUUCCCUCGUCGUUUAUCGUAACUACACAACAUACUUGAGUGUUAUGGAACAUAUGAGCACAUGCAAACCCACAGAGACAAAGAUCAGAGAAAAAGCAACCAUUGCAAUAACAGCUACAGUGACGUUGAUGAUGACUCGGUGUAAAUGAGAGUGCCCCUUCCUUCACAUAUGGAGCCUCGAGCAGGGCAAGAGGCAGGCAGGUCCAUGCUGCCUUGCCUUGCAGAGCUUACGACCGGGCCCACUAAUUGCCUUAAAAGCCUCAGUAACAAUUAUUAGGUUGAAGGACGAUAGGGGAUGUCAGUAGUUGUAGUUCUUGUUUCAAUCUUUUUGCCUGAAUAGCUGAAAAGAGUUGACUAGCGAUACAUGUAAGCUUUUGUUCUUCUGCUUCAUUAUAAGUAACCUAAGAAUUACUUGAACCGAUCGAGCAGGUCACCCUCCAACUUGAGCCAAUGUUCAAGCGAUCCAUCACCAACAGGGUCGUAAGCGACGUUGGCUUCGAGCAAACCAUCUCCUCGUACGCUGUCACUACAUACUAUGGAGACAUCAGCUGGUAUCCGUCACAACGCAGAGUGGUGUACCGAGAUGAUAUCAAGGUCCCCAUCACCACCGAAGGAAAGGGUGUAAACGACUACUUAGGGUUCCGAGCGCAGCCCACCCACGUCGGAGCCUCUCUACGUGCUUCAGGUCUUAUAAAUUGCAGCUUUUAUUUUGCUUGUCAAACUUAAUGUAGUGUUCGAGCAGUAUUAUGCACACAUUUACAUCGACAUUUCGUCCGAGAUUUGUACUAAGAAGGCUUCUUUUGUCCUCUACCAUGUGUUUGUGUCUGUGAAUGCAGAGGAACGAGUGGAGGCAACGGGAAAUGCGGAAGGCAAAUGUGUGCUGUUCAGAUUGCAAGUUGAUACUUUGAUUGCGACCGGCAUGGGCCUUAAGAACAAUGACGGCGGCUUGUUAGAAUUCACCGGCUAUCCGGUCGUUGGAAACCAAAGCGACAUGCAAUCCUCCGGUAGGUCCUCCAAUUAUCCGAAGAAUGUAUAUGAUGACACAUGUUACACCUGUAUUAUAUAUUAUAUGGUCUGAGCCAAAUUCACUCCUGUAUUCUGUAUUAGUCUGAACCAUCUUCUCUCCAGGUUCGUGCCUAAGAAGUGCAGAAGACAACCUUCUCACGGCCUGUGGAUGGGACCCUCGCUUUGCUGGGUCCUUCUACCACGAAACCGCGAUAAGUAUCCCCUUCACCACCGUUGCAGACUUCAUCGCCGACGUCAAGAAGCUCCGCGACGCCCACCCCAACUCGCUCUGCGGCACCGAGCUGUCCUUGGGCUUCUUCAUUCGCUUCCUCCGCAACUCCACGGCCUAUCUUGGCAAAACGGACGACGUGGUGGAGAUCGACAUCACAUACUACCGUUCCAGGGAUCCAAAACGGCCGCGACUCUAUGAGGAUGUGCUCGAGGAGAUCGAACAGAUGGCCUUGUUCAAGUACAAUGGGCUGCCGCACUGGGGGAAGAACAGAAAUGUCGGCUUCCUCAAUGUCAAGAACAAGCUGGGGGCUAAGUUGGCCAAGUUUGUGAGUGUGAUGCAGAAGUAUGACAGCAAUGGAUUGUUCUCUUCAGACUGGACCGAUGCGGUGCUGGGACUGCGAGGGAAGGAAGUUGUGGUGCAGGGAGAUGGAUGUGCACUGGAGGGGCUGUGCAUUUGCUCCACUGACGACCACUGCGCUCCUAAACUAGGCUAUUUUUGUCGACCUGGAGAAGUCUAUGAACAGGCUCGAGUUUGCCGGAAGAUAAAAUCCGUGGAAGCUGAUGGUUUGGCAUGGAGCGCAUGAUACCAUUCACAUUCAUUUGCUGUGCGGUUUAUUUCUGUGUCACUUCCUCUUCGAAUAAAGGUUGUAAUGUCAGUCAAUAAUUACUACAUAGUUUAAUGAUGAUUAAUGAUAAUAACCUGCGACACACGUAAAUGUUCUGAUUAAUUUUACAUAAAUUACACUUGACCCACGUUUCGUGACACAAAUGACAUGGUAGUUCACACCGAAACUACUGCUCUCUAUAAAUUACUCAACGGCGCAGCAUCCAAUCUUCUGUUUGUUCCUUUCUCAUCCUCGCAGUAUAAUUUGGAGAUAGGAAGUGGUCGCACCAUGAGCGAGGGAAACAGCAGCGAGAGCAAGCUGACCCCGUACAUCAGGCCCCCGACCGGGCCGCUGUGGCAUGCCCGGGACUUGUACGAGAGCAGCAAGGCGCAGAGUGGCACCGUCAUCGCGCUGUCUCGCGCCUAUGGCUUUGGGCAGUGCUCGCGGACGAGCAGCAGCGAGGAAGAGAUCAACGACCUCAUCGGCGCCGCUUGCAAGAGCAUGAUGCGGGCCAUCCUGGUGAAGGAGGAUGGGCUGGUGCCAAGGAGCCACCGAGUGGCGACGUUGAGGAUAGACGAUGACAAGCCGUGUGACUUCGAGGACGACCAAGAGGAACGAUGCCAAGGAGCUGUAGCUACGAUGUUGCCACCAAGAGGAACGUGGGCUUCUAAUAAGCUUCAAGUUAGAUUGUGCGGUGAUCAACACGAACAGUAAACAUCCGAGCUUAUAUAUUGUACUGCUUUCGAGGGAGGAAAUAAGCAUUUCGUUGAGCCGUUGUCAUUCUUUUGGAACCAAAACUUAUUAGGAGAGAAAUCGAAUAGUGAAUACAGAAGAAGAUAUUCUUCACUUCUUUUGUGAAGCUUUGUUGUAUUUUACCUACUCACCAUGUAUUUUACACAAAAUAACUAGUUUUAGAUCGGGCAUGACAUCCUGAAGGAAUGAUUGUUUAAUAGACUACAAUGUUUAUUUAUGCGAGGAUUUGGCAUGCUUUUCUCAUCUUAAAAAAAGGAAAUGUUAAAUUUCUAAAAAAAGACCUCCUAACUUUAAAUUAUCAAAUAACGCUCUGAGAAAUUUUUUUAGAGUAUUUUUUUCUUAAACAAUCAUUCUAUCCAUUGUCAACUCUAUCCAUGCAUUGUUAUUAUUGUAUUUACAUGUGGCCCUCGCAUAAGGAAGGAAGGGGUGCAAGAGUUGUCACCUCCUUCCUGCACCACCUCUCCUCCUCUUGUCAUGCUGGAUUUGUUACUUAUAGGCCUCACUCGAGGAAAGAGAGGGUACGAGAGCCAUUGCCACUUAUGCGGACCCCACCAACUCUAUCCUAGCGCCUCGAUCACAACUUUCAUAUGAGAAAGGAGGGGACGUGAGGGCCGUCAUCGUUUCUGUGGACCUUACUAGCCCUAGGACCUUGCUAGACUCUAUUGGACUUGUUGCCCGUAGCCCUUACACAAGGAAAGAAGGGUUGUGAGGGUCGACGCCACCACCAUCUUCACAGACCACUACGACCCUGCUUAUAUGCACUUCACUCGUAACCCUUGUGCAAGGAAGAAGGUGGCACAUGUGCUAUCGUUGCCUUUGUGGAACCUAUUAGUCUCCGUCAAACCUGUUGUCACUCUGCACCACCCCCCCUUUCCUCGCACGAGGGCCAUAGUGUGCAAGGGUUGUGAGUGACAGAUUAUAUGAAGUAGAGGAGAGGAUAGGUAGUGCAUGGAGUAAGGGCACAAGUGAUUAUAGAGGGAGGAGGAGAUAACUAUAGGUCUAAUAGAAAUAGAGAUAAAAUAAUAUUUUUAUAUAAUCAAGAUACUCUAUGAAUUUCUUAAAGUUAAAAGGCUCUGUAAAAAAUUCAUAAUGUUAAAUCUAAAAAAAAAAUAAGGAUUUGACGUGCGUCCGACAAGCCUCCUUCCUGGAGAGGAUCAACACACAGCUAGUUAGUAGGGGAUUCAGUAACUUUCCUUUUUUUUUCCCUUUAAAAAUAUGAAGUUUCAUAACUUAUCAAAAAGAGGUCCAAAUUGUACAUUUAUACCAAUAAAUUUGAAUACUACAAGUUUUUCUCUUGCAACUAAUACACACACAUAUACUACAGUUUUGCCCCAUACAAAUCGAAUAACAAUGAGUAUAGUUUUGACCCUUCCAUGUAUAGAAAUUAAAUAAAAAUUAGUUUGAUUCAAUUCAAAGAGUUAAGUUUCUAUAUUGUGGACCAAAUUAAGUAUAUAUAAUCAGACUCUUUUAAUUCUUAAUUAUACUAGAUUAUCCUCUUAGUUUAUUUUAUUUCAAUUUAGACAUGAAUAUUUUCAUUACAAUGUGAAUAAUAAAAAUAUCUUAAAAGUGAAGUCAUAUUUGGUUCUUUAUUAGACCUUACUUUUCAACUUUUGUAACGAUCCAACCAAUGACCUCAUUAUUGGCCAUGAAUGAAAUCUUGAAUUCUAAUUUUUAAGUAAAAUGUAACUUAUGAUAUUUUAGAUUAAUACAAGUUAACAAUUAUUAACUAUCAUUAGUUAUGAUUGAUUAAAAAUUGAAAUGUAGUAAUAGAAUAUGAUAUUACAAAAUGUUCACAUCAUAUUUCUUUCUUAAAAAAUAAUCUUGUUUAUACCAAACUCGAAUUCAAAAUCUCAUCUGAUAUAUUUUGAAGAUAUCAUCUAAUUUAGUUGGUGUUAGUGUAGAUUUUGAUUAUAUGAGCUAGGAUAAUUCUUCAAAUUGAAUCAAAGUCUAUUCCAAACCAAUCUCACUUCACAUCACUAUUAAUAAAGCACCAAACUUGUAAAACUAGGUCAAGAGGUAUUCUUGACAAAUAUUCCUUCAAUAAUCAAUUGAAUUCUUAGGUUUGGACUGGCUGAUGAAUAUUGAAGUGAAAUCAUAUCUUAAGAGUACAUGAGAGUCCUUUUUAUGGGUGAUACUAAGGAUGAUUAUUCCUAGAAUCACCGAUCACUUAGGCUAGUCGAUCACGAGUUCAAAUUAUCUAUCAUUUGGCCACAUAUCACCCCUUUAUGAGUAUAUAUCUUACUACCUGACCAUCAUCUGUCAAACGCGUGUGAUCCCCAUGCUCUUUGAUAAUCGACCCAUUGGCUUCUUGGCCACGUGUCGCAUUGUGGCAAUGUUGUAUUUGACAUGUCACUUGUCACCUAUCACUAGCCCCCCAUUUCUAAGUUGAUAGAUUAUAGGGCUAUAGAGCUAAGAAGUGCUCUGGCCUAUGAUUUUUACACUGAUAGCGAGUUUGUUCAUCAUCGUUUUGACAUAUGUCAUUGGAAUGCAUGUUGUGUCCAUUAAAGCUAUUCUAUCCAUUCAGUGUGUUUGACGCAUUCAGUCCAUUUGACCCAUUCCGUUGGUUAGGGUCGUUCAGCUCGUUCAAUCAAUUUGACAUGUUAGGCUUUUUAGGAUUUAACCUAGAUGGUACCACGAAGUUUUCUUAAGAUAUCUUAGUUGCCCUCUCUCUAACGCUAAUAUAUUAGUAUAAAUUUUAAUUGUCUGAAUUGAGAUGAUAACUUAGAUCCAACUGAGAUUCAUUGCAAGUUAGUCUUACUCUAGGAAACCUACAAAUGCCCCAUCGUAGAUCAAGUCAGACUUGUUGGCCAAUAAUAAAGUCAAGUUGGAUCCUCGAAGUGUACCUAGAGUCCCUUUUAUUAGUAACUCUGAGAAUGAUUAUGUCCGGAAUCAUUGAUGGUAAGAGAGGAAUAUGUGCCACAUUCAGACUGAGACUUGGCAUGAUAUUCAUCGAACCUUGUGUUCACAUAGGUUGGUUGUGCUAAUCAUGGGUUUGGACGAUCGACUAUUCAUCCACGUAUUAUCUCAUGCUGAGUGUGCAUCUCAUGAUUCCAUCAUCACCUAUCUAUCACAUAUGAUCCUCAUGCUCUUUGGUUGUCAACCUUGUGGCCAUGUGUCACUACACGGUGAUGUUAUAUUCGAUAUAUUACUCUUUAUGCUGAAAAAAAAUUUGAUAGUUGAUCACUAGACUCAAAAUUCUACAUUCGUUAGUGGUGCGUUGGCCAUGUCUCGCCGCAUGAUAGUGUUAUAUUCAAUGUCACACCCUUCACCUGUCAGAUAAAGACUUUAAUAGUUCCUCCCAAAAUUUUAGACUUAAAUUCCACAUUAAUCACUUAUUCUCAAAAAAAAAAUCUGGUUAAGAUCGCAACCACUGCUUCGGUUACAAUUAUCCCUUCUAUUUUUAUAACAGAACAAAUAGGGUAAACAGUGUGCGAGUCGAUCAGUCGGUGGACUGCCUUCAUUCCACCGACUUACACCAUCAUGAGAUCCUCUUAAUUUUCAAAUUAUAAUAAUUAUAAUUUAAAAAAUAUGAAUAACAUUAAAUAAAAAUAAACAAAAAAAUCAGCCAUAACGCGUAAAGGUCAAAGUCAAAGUACCCAUGACCCAUGGACUGGGACACGUGGAGGCAAGAAAGCAUCACAACAGACUCGAGAACGAGCCCACUCGAUUGGACCAUUCAGGGCGGGAUUAAUUGAAAGAAACAACGAGCGAGACAGUCAGCAGGUCCACUAAACUGGAAGCAUUCUUCAUGCUUUGAAAUCAAAACAUGAGUCUAACAUGAUCAACCAAAUUGGACUCAACACUUGUGAUCGAGAAGAAUAGGGUGCCGCCAUGUUCGUACAAGUAAAUGGUUGAUGUGAUCCGGGAGAGAGCAAGGCAUAUAAAUGCUUCAUAACAAGGGAACGUCUCUUACAAGUUCUCCAUUGACAGGUUCUCUUCCUGCUUAGAAUUGGUCCAAUGUUUUCCGGCUUCCACAUACCUCAGGAAAUUGAGUAAAGAACUCUAUUUAAGCGACUUCAAGUCGGCACGACUCUCUUCGCAUCCAAUGUUAAUGUAGCGCUAUGAGCAAGGGAAGCAGAAGAGGGAACAAGCUGAUGCGGUACAUCAAGGCCCCUUAUCGAGCACUGCUUCGUGCCCGGGACUUGUACGUGAACAGCAUGGCCGGAUGCGCCGGCAGGGCCCAGCGCGGGCCGACGAUCAUCGCGAUGCCACGCGCCCAGAGCCGCAGCUUCCACCGCCCGCAAAUGAGCAGCGGCGAGGACGACAUCAACGAGCUCAUCCGCGCUGCGUCGAGGAGCAGGCUGCGGUCCGUCGAGGGAGCGGCGGUUCCGAGGAGUCACAGCGUGGCGGGGAUGACGAUUGACGAGGACAAGCCAUGCAACUUUGAGGGCGACGUCAAGGUGGCCUUGGGCCCGAGGAGCCGGAGCUGCGACGUCGUCUCCAAGAGGAGGGCGGGGUUUACAACAAACGCCGUAAGCAGCAUCCGAAGCUUCUAAUACCAAGAGUGGAAGCACCAAAUGCAGCAAUUCCAUGUCGUUGUGGUUUCUAUUACUCGUGUUCGUGAACUCGAUUCGAUACUUUCUCUCCUCUUCUUCUCCUGUCAUGUUUCUGUUCACUCGUGAAUGUUUGGGCUGCCUGCUUACCUCAUUCCAUCUACACGAACGGAAUGUUCAUAUGGCAUCUCGGUAUCAUUUCCCUCAAAAUUUGAGCCUACAUUUGAAGCAUUUUCAUUAUAUAUAUAUAUAUAUAUAUAUAUAUAUAUAUAUAUAUAUAUAUAUAUAUAUAUAUANNNNNNNNNNNNNNNNNNNNNNNNNNNNNNNNNNNNNNNNNNNNNNNNNNNNNNNNNNNNNNNNNNNNNNNNNNNNNNNNNNNNNNNNNNNNNNNNNNNNNNNNNNNNNNNNNNNNNNNNNNNNNNNNNNNNNNNNNNNNNNNNNNNNNNNNNNNNNNNNNNNNNNNNNNNNNNNNNNNNNNNNNNNNNNNNNNNNNNNNNNNNNNNNNNNNNNNNNNNNNNNNNNNNNNNNNNNNNNNNNNNNNNNNNNNNNNNNNNNNNNNNNNNNNNNNNNNNNNNNNNNNNNNNNNNNNNNNNNNNNNNNNNNNNNNNNNNNNNNNNNNNNNNNNNNNNNNNNNNNNNNNNNNNNNNNNNNNNNNNNNNNNNNNNNNNNNNNNNNNNNNNNNNNNNNNNNNNNNNNNNNNNNNNNNNNNNNNNNNNNNNNNNNNNNNNNNNNNNNNNNNNNNNNNNNNNNNNNNNNNNNNNNNNNNNNNNNNNNNNNNNNNNNNNNNNNNNNNNNNNNNNNNNNNNNNNNNNNNNNNNNNNNNNNNNNNNNNNNNNNNNNNNNNNNNNNNNNNNNNNNNNNNNNNNNNNNNNNNNNNUUUCCUUACAAUAAUAAUAAUGAUAAGAACCUUGCGUCCCAAGUAGGCUCACGUGAUUGACAUAAAUGACUCAAAUUGGGAACGGAUGAAAACUCCUCCUAUUGCAUGUUCAUGAAUCAGAUAUGGAUGAUAUGGCACCACUUUUCCAUUGCCGUCCCACGCACAUCAUCCACGGUUUCCACAGAGACUGGUAGAAGUAAAAUUGCCAACUCAUCUACCUCCCUCUAUCAAUAUAUAUUAUCUAAUCACGUUCUUGCAUCACGUGUUCUGCGACCAUCAACCGGAGACUUUGACAAUUAUGAACCAUUCCAACACGUCUAAAUACACGUAAGAUUCAUCGGGAUGGCAUAAUCUCUUGUUAAGUCAACGGGCUUUACCUCCCUUCUUUUAUAUGAAUUUUUUUCUGACUACUAAUUAUUAUGUAAAUAGUGAUCAAGAUAUCGAAUGCACCUAUAUAUACAUUACAUACCCAUACCCAGACCAACUCUGAACAGCCAUCAUGGCCGCCACCCACAUUGCCCUGUUCGCAUCCGGCCUCGCCGUCUUGCUUCUCCUAGUCCAAGGAUCGCCGCCAGGGCCCGUUGUCCGGUGCCGGUCCGGCAACACUAACUGCACCGUGACCAACGGCUAUGGAGCCUUUCCUGAUCGCAGCACCUGCCGCGUCGCCGCGGUCGCGUACCCUUCGACCGAACAGGAGCUCCUGUUAGCUGUCUCCGACGCCACCGAGAAGCAGCAGCACAUGAAGGCUGUCACGAUGUACUCCCACAGCAUCCCCAAGCUGUCGUGCCCCGGCGGGCCGAGCGGCCAGGGCCUGGUCAUUAGCACCCAGCUCCUCAACAGAUCGGUGAGCGUGGACAUGGCCACCUCGCGGAUGACGUUCGAGGCAGGGAUCACACUUAGGGCGCUCCUUGACGCGGCGGCCGCCCGUGGCCUGGCGCUACCCCACUCGCCGUACUGGCAAGGGAUCACGCUCGGCGGGCUGCUGAGCACCGGUUCGCAUGGGAGCUCGGUGUUCGGGAAGGGCUCGGCGGUGCACGAAUAUGUGGUAGGGAUGAGGCUGGUGGUUCCAAGUCCGGUACCGGUGAACGGGUACUACGCCAAGAUCGUUAAUCUUGGUGAGGAUAAUCCUGAUCUCUUGGCUGCCAAGGUUUCUCUCGGUGUUCUUGGAGUCAUUUCUCAGGUAUGUGUGUGGUGACCUACGUGUUGUUCUUUGUUCUUUACACGGUUUGAGAUCCAUGUGAUAACUCAUCUUAGUUCUUCAUGGUGGUUCUUCCAACCACGUCAAGUGCUUUCAUAAGCUGAGUACAUGACUCGCCACGUCUCGAUGCUAAUUAGGUGCAACUAUAUCUUUAAUUCUUCAUGAUAUAAUAGAGAUCAUCCUACUGUUAUUAGCAACGCUGAAUACAUCCUAUCGUCAGCAAAAUGUCGAGACAGAAAAAAAGAACUUGUUUUCUAUCAAAUCACUUUACAAAGGAAGACUUGUUCUUUUCCUCGAAUCUAGAAAGUUACGUAAAUAAUAGGCUGUUGAUGAUCCCAGUGGACUUUACUUUUAAUCUUUCCUUCUUUUCUUGCUUUGCUUGUCUUCCUUGUUUCAAAAAGGGCUGAUGCAAACCGUUGAACCGUUCUAAUGAUUCCAUGUACCUUCCCUCGUCGUUUAUCGUAACUACACAACAUAAUUGAGUGUUAUGGAACAUAUGAGCACAUGCAAACCCACAUAGACAAAGAUCAGAGAAAAAGCAAACUUUGCAAUAACAGCUACAGUGACGUUGAUGAUGACUCGGGGUAAAUGAGAGUGCCCCUUCCUUCACAUAUGGAGCCUCGCGCAAGGCAAGAGGCAGGCAGGUCCAUGCUGCCUUGCCUUGCAGAGCUUACGACCGGGCCCGCUAAUUGCCUUAAAAGCCUCAGUAACAAUUAUUAGGUUGAAGGACGAUAGGGGAUGUCAGUAGUAGUAGUUCUUGUUUCAGUCUUAUUGCCUGAAUAGCUGAAAAGAGUUGACUUGCAAUACAUGUAAGCUUUUGUUCUUCUGCUUCAUUAUAAGUAACCUAAGAAUUACUUGAACCGAUCGCGCAGGUCACCCUCCAACUUGAGCCAAUGUUCAAGCGAUCCAUCACCAACAGGGUCGUAAGCGACGUUGGCUUCGAGCAAACCAUCUCCUCGUACGCUGCCGCUACAUACUAUGGGGACAUCAGCUGGUAUCCGUCACAACGCAGAGUGGUGUACCGAGAUGAUAUCAAGGUCCCCAUCACCACCAAAGGAAAGGGUGUCAACGACUACUUAGGGUUCCGAGCUCAGCCCACCCUUGUCGUAGCCUCUCUACGUGCUUCAGGUCUUAUAAAUUGCAGUUUUUAUUUUGCUUGUCAAUCUUGAUGUAGUGUUCGAGAAGUAUUGUGAACACAUUUACAUCGACAUUUCGUCCGAGAUUUAUACUAAGAAGGCAUCUUUUGUCCUCUACCAUGUGUUUGUGUCAAUGACUGCAGAGGAACUAUUGGAAGCAACGGGAAAUGCGGAAGGCAAAUGUGUGCUGUUCAGAUUGCAAGUAGAUACUUUGAUUGCGAUCGGCAUGGGCUUUAAGAACAAUGACGGCGGCUUGUUAGAAUUCACUGGCUAUCCGGUCAUUGGAAACCAAAGCGACAUGCAAUCCGCUGGUAGGUUCUCAAAUUAUCCGAGGAAUGUCUGCAUGUAUGAAUGAUAACUCUUGACGAUAAUGCUUCAUCACAAUAAUGACACAUGUAAUGCCCGGAUUUAUUUAGUUUGAGUCAUCUUCUCUCCAGGUUCAUGCCUAAGGAGUGCAGAAGACAACCUUCUUACAGCCUGUGGCUGGGACCCUCGUUUUGCGGGGCUCUUCUACCACCAAACCACGAUAAGCAUCCCCUUCACCACCAUCGCUGGCUUCAUCGCCGACGUCAAGAAGCUCCGCGACGCCCAUCCCGACGCACUCUGCAGCACCGAGCUGUACUUGGGCUUCUUCAUGCGCUUCGUCCGCAACUCCACAGCUUAUCUUGGCAAAACCGACGACGUGGUGGACAUCGACAUCACAUACUAUCGUUCCAAGGAUCCAAAAAAGCCGCGACUCUACGAGGAUGUGCUCGAGGAGAUCGAACAGAUGGCCUUGUUCAAGUACAAUGCGCUGCCGCACUGGGGGAAGAAUAGAAAUGUCGGCUUCCUCAAUGUCAAGAACAAGCUGGGGGCUAAGUUGGACAAGUUUGUGAGUGUGAUGCAGAAGUAUGACAGCAAUGGAUUGUUCUCUUCAGACUGGACCGAUGCGGUACUGGGACUGCGAGGGAAGGAAGUUGUGGUGCAGGGUGAUGGUUGUGCACUGGAGGGGCUGUGCAUUUGCUCCACUGAUGACCACUGCGCUCCUAAACAAGGCUAUUAUUGUCGACCUGGAGAAGUCUACGAACAGGCUCGAGUGUGCAGGAAGAUUAAAUCCGUGGAAGCUGAUGGUUAGGUUUAUUUCUGUGUCGCUUCCUCUUCGAAUAAAGGAUGUAAUGUCAGUCAAUAAUUACUACAUAGUUUAUUAUUGUAAUAUUAAAGCAAGCGUCGAUAAAUGCAAUAUUGUAUGGGAGGCAGAUUGCAUUCCUCCUGAUUUAUCUGUGCAACUCCAAGAUGACUUAUGCAAGUCAUUCUAUAGAACUAUAAUGUGUUAAUAAAUUUCUUUUGGGCAAAAAAAUUAGGACAUAA
RNAcentral lists this long non-coding RNA (17691 nucleotides) under Musa acuminata (dwarf banana). RNAcentral describes it as "long non-coding RNA (MACU_LNC000772)". The record is from RNAcentral. Lineage: Eukaryota; Viridiplantae; Streptophyta; Magnoliopsida; Zingiberales; Musaceae.